This 73-nucleotide transfer RNA is filed under the name Oikopleura dioica. It matches the Rfam family "tRNA". Rfam says of the family: Transfer RNA (tRNA) molecules are approximately 80 nucleotides in length. Their secondary structure includes four short double-helical elements and three loops (D, anti-codon, and T loops). Lineage: Eukaryota; Metazoa; Chordata; Appendicularia; Copelata; Oikopleuridae. The record is from Rfam by way of RNAcentral.
GUUCCCGUAGUGUAGUGGUUAUCACGCUCGCUUCACACGCGAGAGGUCUCCGGUUCGAACCCGGACGGGAACA